GGCCCAUUAGCACAGUUUGUAUGAGCGUUGUGCUAAUAACGCAAAGGUCGGGGGUUCAAUCUCCGCAUGGGCCA
Molecule: non-coding RNA, 74 nt
Organism: Caerostris extrusa
Lineage: Eukaryota; Metazoa; Arthropoda; Arachnida; Araneae; Araneidae
Source: the annotation of a GenBank genome assembly